Molecule: non-coding RNA, 109 nt
Organism: Acanthosepion pharaonis
Lineage: Eukaryota; Metazoa; Mollusca; Cephalopoda; Sepiida; Sepiidae
Source: the annotation of a GenBank genome assembly
CUACGGUCACAUCAAAUUGAAACAUCAGUUCUCGUACAAUCAUAGAAGUUAAGCAACGUCGAGCCAGGUCAGUACCUAGAUAGACGACCUUUUGGGAAUACCAGGUGCU